CAAAAACACAAGCUCUCCCUAUUCUAUUGCCGCACACUCUCACGACACAACUUGGGCGCACAUAUACAUUCGACUGGAGGUAAAAGUCGCUCUCCUACUUAGGGAUAAAACUCACUAAAACAAUACGCACACUACAAAAAGAAAACUCACAACACAACUAUCAUCAUGGGAAGACCUAGAGGUCUCCUGGAUAGGCCGCAUCAACUCAAUUAAGAUGAUGAUUCUCCCGCACAUAUUGUACCUGUUUAGAACCAUCCCUAUAGAACUGCCAUCCCGCCUCAUUAAAAGGCUCCAAUCUGUUAUAAACGCACAUGUCUGCAAAUGGAAACCCCCGCGAAUAAAGAAUAAAACCCUAGGCCUCCACUAUAACCGAGGAGGACUAGGCCUCCCAGAUGUCAGGUUCUAUUACC
Pelobates cultripes (western spadefoot toad) is the source of this 410-nucleotide non-coding RNA. The record is from the annotation of a GenBank genome assembly. NCBI's taxonomy places the organism in Eukaryota, Metazoa, Chordata, Amphibia, Anura, Pelobatidae.